UCUUGGUUAGCUCCGUUGGUAGAGCGCUCCACGAAAAAUAGAGAGGCCCCUUGUUCGAUACCAGGACCAGGCG
RNAcentral lists this transfer RNA (73 nucleotides) under Ixodes scapularis (black-legged tick). RNAcentral's name for it is "tRNA-Phe". Lineage: Eukaryota; Metazoa; Arthropoda; Arachnida; Ixodida; Ixodidae. The record is from RNAcentral.